CCUACGUGAGGCAGCAGUGAGGAAUAUUGGUCAAUGGGCGCAAGCCUGAACCAUCCAAGUCGCGUGAGGGAUGACGGUCCUAUGGAUUGUAAACCUCUUUUGUCGGGGAGCAAGGCCCGCCACGUGUGGCGGGAAGGAGAGUACCCGACGAAAAAGCAUCGGCUAACUCCGUGCAAGCAGCCGCGGUAAUACGGAGGAUGCGAGCGUUAUCCGGAUUUCGUGGGUUUAAAGGGUGCGUAGGCGGAAGGUUAAGUCAGCGGUCAAAUGUCGGUGCUCAACACCGGCCUGCCGUUGAAACUGGUCGUCUUGAGUGAGCGAGAAGUAUGCGGAAUGCGUGGUGUAGCGGUGAAAUGCAUAGAUAUCACGCAGAACUCCGAUUGCGAAGGCAGCAUACCGGCGCUCAACUGACGCUGAGGCACGAAAGCGUGGGGAUCGAACAGGAUUAGAUACCCGGGUAGUC
This 460-nucleotide ribosomal RNA is filed under the name uncultured bacterium. RNAcentral's name for it is "partial 16S ribosomal RNA". It matches the Rfam family "Bacterial small subunit ribosomal RNA", at positions 338 to 795 of the family's 1533-position model. The record is from RNAcentral.